AGUGAACGCUGGCGGUAGGCCUAACACAUGCAAGUCGAACGGCAGCACAGUAAGAGCUUGCUCUUACGGGUGGCGAGUGGCGGACGGGUGAGGAAUACAGCGGAAUCUACUUUUUCGUGGGGGAUAACGUAGGGAAACUUACGCUAAUACCGCAUACGCCCUACGGGUGAAAGCAGGGGAUCUUCGGACCUUGCGCGAUUGAAUGAGCCGAUGUCGGAUUAGCUAGUUGGCGGGGUAAAGGCCCACCAAGGCGACGAUCCGUAGCUGGUCUGAGAGGAUGAUCAGCCACACUGGAACUGAGACACGGUCCAGACUCCUACGGGAGGCAGCAGUGGGGAAUAUUGGACAAUGGGCGCAAGCCUGAUCCAGCCAUACCGCGUGGGUGAAGAAGGCCUUCGGGUUGUAAAGCCCUUUUGUUGGGAAAGAAAAGCAGCAGGUUAAUACCCCGCUGUUCUGACGGUACCCAAAGAAUAAGCACCGGCUAACUUCGUG
This 492-nucleotide ribosomal RNA is filed under the name uncultured bacterium. RNAcentral's name for it is "partial 16S ribosomal RNA". It matches the Rfam family "Bacterial small subunit ribosomal RNA", at positions 29 to 507 of the family's 1533-position model. The record is from RNAcentral.